AGCGAACGCUGGCGGCAGGCUUAACACAUGCAAGUCGAGCGGGCCUUUCGGGGUCAGCGGCGGACGGGUGAGUAACGCGUGGGAACGUGCCCUCUGGUUCGGAAUAACUCAGGGAAACUUGAGCUAAUACCGGAUACGCCCUUUUGGGGAAAGGCUUGCUGCCGGAGGAUCGGCCCGCGUCUGAUUAGCUAGUUGGUGAGGUAACGGCUCACCAAGGCGACGAUCAGUAGCUGGUCUGAGAGGAUGAUCAGCCACACUGGGACUGAGACACGGCCCAGACUCCUACGGGAGGCAGCAGUGGGGAAUAUUGGACAAUGGGCGCAAGACUGAUCCAGCCAUGCCGCGUGAGUGAUGAAGGCCUUAGGGUUGUAAAGCUCUUUUAUCCGGGACGAUAAUGACGGUACCGGAGGAAUAAGCCCCGGCUAACUUCGUG
Molecule: ribosomal RNA, 433 nt
Filed under: uncultured bacterium
Lineage: Bacteria
Description: partial 16S ribosomal RNA
Rfam family: Bacterial small subunit ribosomal RNA
Source: RNAcentral